GAACACCAAUGCAUUUUUCUGACUAUACAUGCAAGCAAUAAUGAGCCAACUCAGACCCGAGUCAACGUCCAGAUACCUAGGAAGCUAGAAGCAAUUAAAAACUGCCCAAAAUUUGAACCACUACAUAAGAAACAAUUACCAUUUGUCAAACUAACAAAUUUUCAUAAACAAGGCAGUAUAGACCUAGACAUCACUUUUCACAGGCAUGGUUAGAUCAAUUCUGUUUAUUCCAACAAAUGCAGCUUCAUGUUAUGAUACAAGGAUACUAUUUACCUUCAAAAGGAAAUGUUUACAUCACAAAACCAAUAUUUCAUUCCAUGACUUUUUUGAGUUUGGAGAACCAGACCCACAUAAACAGGAUUAAUUUCUCUUCAGCUUCUCUUUCA
Molecule: unclassified non-coding RNA, 386 nt
Filed under: Hevea brasiliensis (rubber tree)
Lineage: Eukaryota; Viridiplantae; Streptophyta; Magnoliopsida; Malpighiales; Euphorbiaceae
Source: RNAcentral